Molecule: transfer RNA, 89 nt
Filed under: Microbacterium flavescens
Lineage: Bacteria; Bacillati; Actinomycetota; Actinomycetes; Micrococcales; Microbacteriaceae
Also listed under: 1 other name
Description: tRNA-Val
Source: RNAcentral
CGCCUGCCGGGUGGCGGAGCCGCUGACGACGACGGCGUCGGCCGGGUCGGUCACCGGCUCGGUCUCGGCCUCGGUCGCCGAGGAGGCGC